This 135-nucleotide ribosomal RNA is filed under the name Danio rerio (zebrafish). The record is from RNAcentral. Lineage: Eukaryota; Metazoa; Chordata; Actinopteri; Cypriniformes; Danionidae.
UUCUGCCCCUAUGACAUUUCAUUCAUGCCCCUAUGAAAAGGUUAAGUCAGUGGUCACCCACUGAAGCUAAGCAGGGCUGCGCCUGGUCAGUAUCUGGAUGGGAGAUCACAUGGGAAAGCUAGGUUGCUGCCGGAA